ACGCAAUAGAUACCCCGGUAGUCCCAGCCGUAAACGAUGGACACUAGGUGUUGGUGGUAUCAACCCCGCCAGUGCCGUAGCUAAACGCAUUAAGUGUCCCGCCUGGGGAGUACGGCCGCAAGGCUAAAACUCAAAGGAAUUGACGGGGGUCCCGGCACAAGCAGCGGAGCGUGGGGUUUUAAUUCGAUGCAACGCGAAGAACCUUACCAGGGCUUGACAUGACCAGGAAGUCGGCGGAAACGUCGGUGUCCCGCAAGGGACCUGGCCACAGGUGUUGCAUGGCUGUCGUCAGCUCGUGUCGUGAGAUGUUGGGUUUAAACGUCCCGCAACGAGCGCAACCCCGUACUGUGUGUUGUAUCACUCACACGGGUACUGCCGAGAGAAACCUCGGGAGGAACGGUUGGGGUAUGACGUCAAGUCAGCAUGGCCCUU
This 432-nucleotide ribosomal RNA is filed under the name uncultured bacterium. Its description in RNAcentral is "bacterial SSU rRNA". It matches the Rfam family "Bacterial small subunit ribosomal RNA", at positions 772 to 1203 of the family's 1533-position model. The record is from RNAcentral.